ACAAAAACAGUGAUAAGGAAGAGUAGAUGUGAAGCUGCUUUAAGAGAGAAGAACCCAUUGGUUGAAAGGUUCUUUAGGUAAGAGACAUUGAAAACCACCUUUGAGUUGAAUACUGAAAUUAUAGUAAGUAUAUCCGUUUCCUGCGUUAAGGGGUUUAGAGAUAACAGUAGAUAUACAGUAGAAAAAUUUUAUUUUCUUUAUUGUAUAGCUUUAAUAAUCAUUGCCUAAAUAAGGCUUAGAUGCUGUUGAAGUUGGGUGGAACCGCGAAAUAACACUCGUCCCAUAU
This 286-nucleotide non-coding RNA is filed under the name Clostridium carboxidivorans. RNAcentral describes it as "T-box sequence". It matches the Rfam family "T-box leader". Rfam says of the family: Uncharged tRNA acts as the effector for transcription antitermination of genes in the T-box leader family. T-boxes are found upstream of many aminoacyl-tRNA synthetase genes and some amino acid biosynthetic genes usually in Gram-positive bacteria. The anticodon of a specific tRNA base pairs to a specifier sequence within the T-box motif, and the NCCA acceptor tail of the tRNA base pairs to a conserved bulge in the T-box antiterminator hairpin. Lineage: Bacteria; Bacillati; Bacillota; Clostridia; Eubacteriales; Clostridiaceae. The record is from RNAcentral.